AAAAAAUUAUAACACCAAGUUAAAUAAAAUCUGUAAUACAAACUUCUGAUAGUUUUAGGUAUAUAAAGGAACCCAAAAAUUGUGCGGAAAACAAAAGAAAUAAAUUUACCAUUACAUCACCAUAUAAUCGAAAAGCUUAACGUAAAUCUUUUAAAAAUAAAAUUCUUGGAUUAUCUCCUUCGCUCACCAAUAGACGUGGCAAGUAAUGAUUGGCAAUUCCAGAAAUCUGGAAUCAGCCCGAGAUCCAGAAGAUUGGCCAAUAUGAUUUUAGGGCUAUUCAGGGACACUGUGAAGUUCCCCUAUGGCAUCAGAUUUGUCCCAUCUUUAAACUGAACCUUAAACAUAGUCGCCGAAGGAUUCAUCGGCGAAACAAGUUCCGAUUGGCUGAUGUUUGGAGAAUCAUUGGACCUCCUUUUACACAAAAAAUAGACAAUAAACAGAAGAAAGAAAGCGAACAGCAAGACUAGAACUAGCAGCAUGAUCUCACCAUGGACGGCAAAGUUCCGAUCAUCGGAGAAGAGAAGCUCAUCUUUCUGAGGAUUCUCAUUAGGGGGCAGUGAAGCUGAUGGUUGCUCACCUGCAUUAUUAUUAGCCAUAGAAACAAAAAGUGUUAGCUAGCUCUCAGCUGCAACUUCUCAACUGCAGAUUUGGGUUAAUUAAUUGGGUGGUUGUUUACAACUUGUAUCAAUAUGGCUAGCUCACGUGGUGUCAGUUCAUUAGCUAAAAACUGUUUGGGUUCAGUUUAGGUAACAUAGAAGGGAAUUGAAUGAUUCAAUGCUGGAGAAUAAUAUAAGGUGAACGGCUCUUUCUAGGUGAUCUGAGAGAUAAAAGAGUAAGAGAGACAAGACAAGGGUUUUUGCGUGGAUGGUGCCAAGAAAGUGAGGAAGAACAGGUUGUGGCUGCGAUGGUGACCACUCUAGAGGGUAUUCAAGGAAGUAGCCAAUAUUUUCAUAGAAAUGUGGUCCUUUUCUUGAGUGAAUUGUACUACUGUAG
This 993-nucleotide unclassified non-coding RNA is filed under the name Hevea brasiliensis (rubber tree). The record is from RNAcentral. Lineage: Eukaryota; Viridiplantae; Streptophyta; Magnoliopsida; Malpighiales; Euphorbiaceae.